Molecule: long non-coding RNA, 346 nt
Organism: Hemiscyllium ocellatum (epaulette shark)
Lineage: Eukaryota; Metazoa; Chordata; Chondrichthyes; Orectolobiformes; Hemiscylliidae
Exons: 4
Source: RefSeq, a predicted model, not a curated record
ACAAAGAUGAUUGAUGAAGGCAGAUUGUGGACGUUGUCUAUAUGGACACUGAACGAUGUUCCACAAAGCAGACUGGUUAGCAAGCACAACCAGAGCUGGACAGAGUAUUCCAGAAGAGGCCUCCCCAACAUCUUGUACAUCCCCAACAUAACGUCCCAACUCCUGUACUCCAAGGUCUGAACAAUCAAGGAUGAGGCUGUCACUGGCUCGGCCAGCAUUUAUUGCUGCGUUUACCCAGAGGGCAGUUAAGAGUCAACUGCGUUGCUAUAGGUCUGGAGUCCCAUGCAGACCAGACCAGAUCCCAGUGAUUAAUGCCAAAGCCCCAUUGCCUGGGGAGAGGGUGAUG